GGUGCUAUAGAAAUAUUUAAUGACAUUUAUUUGACAUAUUGAUCCCAGGAGGAAAUUGAUAGACAAGUUCUAAUCUCUAAAUCUUGAGUUACUCUUCCUUAUUAGAUCCGGAGUGGAUUUACACUGUCAUCAAGCAGAAAUUGGGCUGUAAGACAGAACAUGCAGCAUCAUCUUUUGCUACCACAAUGUCUUCUUACUGAGGCUUUUCAGGUAGUGCUGCUCUUCAAGUGUGCAGAUAUCCAUGAAUUCUACGAUUUCACGCUGCGCUCUGCACCCCUGCAGCCUCCCAGCCUGGACGCAUGUCGCAGCACAGCCAGGCAGCAGCAUGGGGCCAGCGAGCCCAGCUCUGCAGUCACACCCGGAGAGCCCCAAAACCUACCUGAGGAUCCGUCCCGGGACGGUGAGCGGAGGCUUCCCGCAGGGGCUGGGGACAGCAUGCCGGGGACGCCGCCGCGGCUGGUGAGGGUGACGGCGCGGAGGACGGAGGCACCGGCCAGUGUCUGCAGCCUGGUGCUUGGCUCUCGCAGCGCCCUGCCCCAGGUGAGCCUCCGUGCGCCCCACGCCGCGUCCCACCCUACCAGCCUGGACGGCAGCUGGCACUGAGGGGACAGCACUGGCGCCAUGUGCCCGUAGCACCGCGGGGACGGUGCCGGGGAGGUGUUUCGCUCCCCCAGGCCUGGCAGUGUUUCCUCAUGGCUAUUCUGGUGAUGCUCUGGCUAGGAAAUCUAACAGUCACCUGUGCCGGGGGCUGGACAACACCAAAAUCAUCCCCUCGCGUUAGCCUUUACCAUGGCCUGGUGUCAGCCCUCGGGGCUCGGAGGGCAGGUGGAUAUGGUGCAGAAAUAAAGAGGCUGCAUGGAACUGGAAAUCCUCCCAGCCCUAUCCCCCUCGCCCCCAGCGCUGGCACACUCCCACGUUGCAGAUUUCCGUAUUUUUUUCUCUGAGCUCUUAAAUGGCAGGUCCAUUCCUCAGCUUACCGGGAGCUUUUCUCUGCUGUCUUAUUUACUUGGAAAUGCCGUUUGUUUGGAUGUGCAUCGUAAAUCUCAGCUUCCUCCUGGUGCGAGUGCAUCAUUUGGGCUACAUGUUUGAGGGGAGUUUUAGGGACGAGCGAAGGGCAAAAUGCACUUUUGGGAGGGAUGAAGUGGCCAGGAUGGAUGGAGCUCACCGCAGAUUUAAAAUGAUAUGAAAAUGUUGUUUUCCUUGGCAUAGUUUGAAAUAAUGCUUGUUUACUAAGUCAAAGUCUUCUUCCAAAAUAUUUUAAAUAAGAAAAUUGCACUGCUUCUUUUCUCUCCUUUUUAAAUGUUUCCCUUCUUAUUCUGGACUGCAAUAAAAUGGGUAAUGCCCCAUUUUUUUCCCUUACUGUUUAAUUUCUCCUUUUCCUUUUGCUACUCUCUACAUUUUUCAAACAUUCACCAAAUCUUUACCAGUUUUGGAAGGGCGGGAUGGUGGUUUUCUGAACACGACAGGAGGAUGAGCUCAGCUGCUGGUCUCCAUUCACCAGUGGGAGGGAACCACGACUGCAGAUGGGGUAGUCAUG
This 1537-nucleotide long non-coding RNA is filed under the name Aquila chrysaetos chrysaetos. Its description in RNAcentral is "lncRNA (ENSACCG00020011948.1)". Lineage: Eukaryota; Metazoa; Chordata; Aves; Accipitriformes; Accipitridae. The record is from RNAcentral.